RNAcentral lists this ribosomal RNA (301 nucleotides) under uncultured bacterium. RNAcentral's name for it is "partial 16S ribosomal RNA". It matches the Rfam family "Bacterial small subunit ribosomal RNA", at positions 509 to 807 of the family's 1533-position model. The record is from RNAcentral.
CAGUCGCCGCGGUAAUACGUAGGGUGCAAGCGUUAAUCGGAAUUACUGGGCGUAAAGCGUGCGCAGGCGGUUUGUUAAGACAGAUGUGAAAUCCCCGGGCUCAACCUGGGAACUGCAUUUGUGACUGGCAAGCUAGAGUAUGGCAGAGGGGGGUGGAAUUCCGCGUGUAGCAGUGAAAUGCGUAGAUAUGCGGAGGAACACCGAUGGCGAAGGCAGCCCCCUGGGCCAAUACUGACGCUCAUGCACGAAAGCGUGGGGAGCAAACAGGAUUAGAGACCCCUGUAGUCCCUGUCUCUUAUAC